This 67-nucleotide transfer RNA is filed under the name human gut metagenome. It matches the Rfam family "tRNA", at positions 5 to 66 of the family's 71-position model. From Rfam's summary of the family: Transfer RNA (tRNA) molecules are approximately 80 nucleotides in length. Their secondary structure includes four short double-helical elements and three loops (D, anti-codon, and T loops). Further hydrogen bonds mediate the characteristic L-shaped molecular structure. tRNAs have two regions of fundamental functional importance: the anti-codon, which is responsible for specific mRNA codon recognition, and the 3' end, to which the tRNAs corresponding amino acid is attached (by aminoacyl-tRNA synthetases). tRNAs cope with the degeneracy of the genetic code in two manners: having more than one tRNA (with a specific anti-codon) for a particular amino acid; and 'wobble' base-pairing, i.e. permitting non-standard base-pairing at the 3rd anti-codon position. The record is from RNAcentral.
ACAUAGCUCAGCUGGAUAGAGCAUCAGAUUCCGAUUCUGAGGGUCGCGGGUUCAAAUCCUGUUGUGU